Molecule: ribosomal RNA, 253 nt
Filed under: uncultured bacterium
Lineage: Bacteria
Description: partial 16S ribosomal RNA
Rfam family: Bacterial small subunit ribosomal RNA
Source: RNAcentral
CACGUAGGCACCAAGCGUUGUCCGGAUUUAUUGGGCGUAAAGGGCUCGUAGGCGGUUUGUCGCGUCGGGAGUGAAAACCUCGGGCUUAACUCGGGGCUUGCUUUCGAUACGGGCAGACUGGAGGUAUGCAGGGGAGAACGGAAUUCCUGGUGUAGCGGUGAAAUGCGCAGAUAUCAGGAGGAACACCGGUGGCGAAGGCGGUUCUCUGGGCAUGACCUGACGCUGAGGAGCGAAAGUGUGGGGAGCGAACAGG